Molecule: small nuclear RNA, 23 nt
Filed under: Arabidopsis thaliana (thale cress)
Lineage: Eukaryota; Viridiplantae; Streptophyta; Magnoliopsida; Brassicales; Brassicaceae
Description: snRNA_12676
Source: RNAcentral
AAGGGAUUUUUGGAUCCAUAAAA